UGCUCAGGUGCCUCGUUUUGACGAGGAGAAUAGGGAACCGUGUGAGAAUCACGGACUGUCGCGCAACUGUAAUCACCAGAAGGGUUUUGCCACUAAUGUCCACUGUCCAGGGGAUGGGAAGGACGGCAAAAUGGUGAAAGUCAGGAUACCUGCCUUUGCGGAUU
Molecule: non-coding RNA, 164 nt
Filed under: Butyricimonas paravirosa
Lineage: Bacteria; Pseudomonadati; Bacteroidota; Bacteroidia; Bacteroidales; Odoribacteraceae
Source: RNAcentral